GCCAUUGGCCUGCAUACAUCGCACACGGUAGUUGUGGCAAAUGCAGCUAUGCUGGAACCUUUAAUGAGAAGAAAUGUCAAUCGUACUGUGGAGAACCAUCUCAGAGAUGGUAUCAUGUUCCCCGCGCUUGGUUGAAUCCAAACGGGAACGUAUUGGUAAUUUUUGAAGAAUGGGGUGGCAAUCCUGAUGGGAUUUCUUUGGUUAAGAGAUCCGUGUCCUGAUAACACCAAGAAGCUUUGAGAGGCUGUCUACAACUAAACUCAAUCAUGCCUCACGUUUCUCUCUAGUUUCACCAAAAUACAUCUAUAGAUUUUUCAAAUUAUAGUUCAUCCUGAGUUGCAUAAAGUUCUUGCCAAGCUCAGGACAGCAGCGGGCGUCUCGGACUGUAAUGUUCAAACUCGCAAGAGAAUAAGUGGAGAAAAAUACCAAAACCAAACACCAUUUUUAUGCCAAAUGUAGAUAGUGAAGAAGUUUGCUACGUACAUAGAAAGAAAAGCUAUUCUUGGGUUCAGAACUUUGAUCCCAGAUUCAAACCCAUAUUUGUUUAUUUGGGGCUUAUGUAAUUAUUCGAUCAUCGGUCGAGAUUGUAACGUUUGAAUACAAUACAAAUGUUUAAGCACAAUACAUAAUCAUUAUACUUUAUGAGAGUUGAUUC
Molecule: long non-coding RNA, 655 nt
Organism: Momordica charantia (bitter melon)
Lineage: Eukaryota; Viridiplantae; Streptophyta; Magnoliopsida; Cucurbitales; Cucurbitaceae
Source: RefSeq, a predicted model, not a curated record